This 421-nucleotide ribosomal RNA is filed under the name Fusobacteriota bacterium. RNAcentral's name for it is "Fusobacteria bacterium partial 16S ribosomal RNA". It matches the Rfam family "Bacterial small subunit ribosomal RNA", at positions 355 to 776 of the family's 1533-position model. Lineage: Bacteria; Fusobacteriati; Fusobacteriota. The record is from RNAcentral.
UAAGGAAUAUUGCGCAAUGGGCGAAAGCCUGACGCAGCGACGCCGCGUGGGGGAUGAAGGUCUUCGGAUUGUAAACCCCUUUCGGGAGGGAAGAUGGGAUGGGGUAACCCAUUCGGACGGUACCUCCAGAAGCAGCCACGGCUAACUUCGUGCCAGCAGCCGCGGUAAUACGAAGGUGGCAAGCGUUGUUCGGAUUUACUGGGCGUACAGGGAGCGUAGGCGGUUGGAUAAGCCCUCCGUGAAAUCUCCAGGCUUAACCUGGAAAGUGCAGAGGGGACUGUUCAGCUAGAGGAUGGGGGAGGAGCGCGGAAUUCCCGGUGUAGCGGUGAAAUGCGUAGAGAUCGGGAGGAAGGCCGGUGGCGAAGGCGGCGCUCUGGAACAUUUCUGACGCUGAGGCUCGAAAGCGUGGGGAGCAAACAGG